CACUACACUGUCAGCACAAAGAUCACACGGACUCAAACAGACAGCGUGUAUUUUUUAGACACUUUAAAAAAUUCAAGGUGCUUCUCGUGUGUUCCGAUGCCAGUGUUUUAAUUCUGUCAUUUUUAUUUUAUUUUAAAUUCUUUGGUUGAGUUUUUGUGUCAGUUGUACCUGUCCCGUUAGGUGUUGAAGGAACGCACAGAGGAAACGUUUCUCCAAACUUUUCUUGAGGAGAAACGAGAGGGCAAACACGUCUAGAUAAGGGUCCUUGGCUGUCAGUGGGAUGAUAGUGAGGUGGAGUGGAGUCUGGAUUGAAGGAGCAUGGUGAAGCACCAACCCUUACAGGUCUAUGAGAGACAGCUGUGUUUGUCAUGUCUGACGGGGAUCUAUGGCUGCCGCUGGAAACGCUACCAGCGGUCACAUGAUGACACCACCAAGUGGGAGUGUUUGUGGUCAUUCAUUCUCUUCUGCACUUUUUCCUUGCUGCUGGUGUGGUUUUACUUCUGGUGGGAGGCCCACAAUGACUACAACGAGUUUAACUGGUUUUUAUAUAACCGCUCAGGGGAGUGGAGCGAUGGUACCAUUCCCAUAUUUGCCACCACAGCUGCAGGCUUCACCUACAUUGCAUUUUUAAUGAUUUUAGCCCUGUGCCAUGUUGCUGUUGGUCAGCAGUUAAACCUACACUGGCUCCACAAGAUUGGUGUGACAUUUGCUUUGCUCACUACAAUAAUUGCUGUGAUAUCUGUCACUCAGAUGUGGGGAGAGGAAUGGGAUGUAGUGUGGAUUUCUUUGCAGGCUACAGGACCUUUCCUACACAUCGGUGCUUUAGCUGCGGUCACCGCUCUGGCCUGGGUGAUAGCGGGACAGGUGGCUCGAGUGGAGAAAACCAGGUUCCAGGUGAUGGUGCUCCUCAUCUACCUGAGUGUUCUCCUCACACUCUACUUCAUUCCGCUGUCAAUCACCUCCCCAUGCAUCAUGGAGCGUGGGAGACUCAAAGCGGCCCCUACCAUCAUUGGUCAUCAAGGAGCUCCAAUGCUGGCUCCAGAGAACACUCUACUUUCCUUCCACAGAGCUCUGCAGAGGAAUGUCAGUGGGUUGGAGGUGGAUGUGGCCAUCAGUCUAGAUGGUGUGCCCUUCCUCAUGAAAGACCGGACGUUAAGAAGAACCACAGAUGUGAAGAAAAUGUUUCCAGAGAGACAGUAUGACGAUGCCUCCCUCUUCAAUUGGACUGAUCUGCGCUCGCUUAACACUGGGCAAUGGUUUCUUAAGGAUGAUCCAUUCUGCACGGUGCAGUACAUGUCGAUGUCAGAGCGCUGGUUGGUGGGGAACCAGACAGUGUGCAGCCUGGAACAGAUGCUGAAACUAGCAUCUCGGUCCAAGAGCUCGGCUGUGUUCAGAAUGCGCAGACCGCCAGCCGGUCACCCACACCACCUUGACUGGGUCAACCUCACCCUGGACACUGUUCUGAGGUCAGGCAUACCACAGCGGCAGGUGAUGUGGACUGCAGACAGUGACAGGGAAAUUGUGAAGCAAGUGGCUCCUGGUUUACAGCAGACGUCUGUACAGAAGCUUCCCCUGGACACUCUUCAUCAUAAAGGCAUCAGCAGAGUCCUGCUGCGCUAUAAUCAGGCAUCUGCGCAGGACGUCCGGCUGUAUAAUGAAAACAACAUCAGUGUGACUAUGUAUAUGGUGAACGAGCCAUGGCUGUAUUCUCUGCUGUGGUGCAGUGGGGUGCCGUCUGUGUCUUCUGAGGCCCCGCAGUUGUUGAGGAAGUUGCAUUCGCCACUCUGGCUCAUGAGUCCAGAUGAAUACAGUUUGAUAUGGAUCUCCACUGAUCUCAUCUCUUUUGCUGUAGUACUGGGAAUAUUUAUAUUCCAGAACUAUCACAUAAUCAGGUGGAGAAUGAGUGGGAUGCGUAGCUACAACCCUGAGCAGAUCAUGCUGAGCGCAGCCGUCAGGAGAUCCAGCCGAGAUGUCAACAUCAUGAAGGAGAAGCUCAUCUUCUCUGGUCAGCCACUGUAGCUGUUCACCCCCUGGGUUUGAGUCUUCUACUAUCACCCCAUCUAUGGCCGCAUCCCUCCAUCCCAUUCAGUCUCAUUCCCUCCCCUCUCCUGCCUGUCUCUCACUGUCUACCACCAUCCCGUCUCCUCCUCCAUCCAUUCAUCCAUCAAUUCAUUCUCGACUGACAUCCCUCACCUUGAAUGAUAGCUCAUGCAGGGCUGUAGCAUCAGUGACCAGGGUUACUGUGACCUGCAUGUGAGGUGAGCAAUGGAGUCAGCAGUGAUGAACCAUAUAUGGAAAAUGGAUUUAACUACUACACCAAUUAAGGCUUUCUCAUUGAACCCCAGGAGCAAAAUACACGAGACACAAUGGCUGACAAAUGUGUCUUGAUUUUAUGGAAAGAAACCAAUUGCAUACUGAACCAGUUUGUGAUGCAUCCUCUUUACUACUGACUCGAUUCUGUCUACUGUUGAUGAUGGACCCAUGUACAGAAAAAAAAAUUCUUCUGCUGUUAAUUUGCUUGUACUUAAUUCUGGCCACUGAAGAGAAGUUUCCAGUUAUAGAGUAGGAAGUGCAGUUCUUCUGUUGACUAUUACCAAAUCUGUGGCCUCUGCCCCCACUAAAUGCUUGAGUAUGCUGGAAUGCCCGUUACUUGCUUCGUAUUGCAAGCAUGCCUGUAAUAAUAUAGUGGGUUUUAUCUGUCAGUUUUUGGGGAUUUUAAUUUUUCUAAUCAUCCAUAGCCAGCCAAUGCUGAGUAAAACAUAUAUUAUGCUAUAUAU
Molecule: RNA transcript, 2777 nt
Organism: Myxocyprinus asiaticus (Chinese sucker)
Lineage: Eukaryota; Metazoa; Chordata; Actinopteri; Cypriniformes; Catostomidae
Gene name: glycerophosphodiester phosphodiesterase domain-containing protein 5-like
Exons: 18
Source: RefSeq, a predicted model, not a curated record